This 468-nucleotide ribosomal RNA is filed under the name uncultured bacterium. Its description in RNAcentral is "partial 16S ribosomal RNA". It matches the Rfam family "Bacterial small subunit ribosomal RNA", at positions 28 to 507 of the family's 1533-position model. The record is from RNAcentral.
GACGAACGCUGGCGGCGUGCUUAACACAUGCAAGUCGAACGGAAAGGCCCUGCUUUUGUGGGGUGCUCGAGUGGCGAACGGGUGAGUAACACGUGAGUAACCUGCCCUUUACUUUGGGAUAACUUCAGGAAACUGGGGCUAAUACCGGAUAGGAGCUCCUGCUGCAUGGUGGGGGUUGGAAAGUUUCGGCGGUUGGGGAUGGACUCGCGGCUUAUCAGCUUGUUGGUGGGGUAGUGGCUUACCAAGGCUUUGACGGGUAGCCGGCCUGAGAGGGUGACCGGCGACAUUGGGACUGAGAUACGGCCCAGACUCCUACGGGAGGCAGCAGUGGGGAAUAUUGCACAAUGGGCGGAAGCCUGAUGCAGCAACGCCGCGUGCGGGAUGACGGCCUUCGGGUUGUAAACCGCUUUCGCAUGUGACGAAGCGUGAGUGACGGUAAUGGGUAAAGAAGCACCGGCUAACUACGUG